GAACCUUGGGUCUCGCCUCGCCGUGAGAAGGCGGCUGGCCGACCUUUGUUCUUUCGAGACAAAGCCCUGAACUUGGGUCCUCGCGCUGCGCAGGAAACUGGAAGGACUACUUUAGCAAAAUAAGGAAAUAAAAGAAGAACAUGGAAGAUGUGGAAAAGAAGAUACAAAAAGAAAAGUAGCAAGGAAAAUCCUAAGGUGGCACAAGGGGAUAUCCCAGAACUUCAAGGAAACAACAGUACCGGAAAUGAGGAGGAAGAAAGAGGGCUCCAGAGGCAACUCAGAAUAAAUAAAUAAAUAAAUAAAUAAUGUUGAA
Molecule: long non-coding RNA, 313 nt
Organism: Ictidomys tridecemlineatus (thirteen-lined ground squirrel)
Lineage: Eukaryota; Metazoa; Chordata; Mammalia; Rodentia; Sciuridae
Source: RefSeq, a predicted model, not a curated record